UACGUAGGGUGCGAGCGUUAUUCGGAAUUACUGGGCGUAAAGCGUGCGCAGGCUGUUUUGUAAGUCAGAUGUGAAAUCCCCGAGCUCAACUUGGGAACUGCGUUUGAAACUACAAGACUAGAAUAUGUCAGAGGGGGGUAGAAUUCCACGUGUAGCAGUGAAAUGCGUAGAGAUGUGGAGGAAUAUCAAUGGCGAAGGCAGCCCCCUGGGAUAAUAUUGACGCUCAUGCACGAAAGCGUGGGGAGCAAACAGG
Molecule: ribosomal RNA, 253 nt
Filed under: uncultured bacterium
Lineage: Bacteria
Description: partial 16S ribosomal RNA
Rfam family: Bacterial small subunit ribosomal RNA
Source: RNAcentral